AAACGAAUGGUGGCAUGAGGGGAGAAGGAAUGAUCGUCCCCCUCCCGACGUGGCUCUUAACAUGUUAAGGACACGGUGUAACAGACAGUUUCAGCCAGAACACAGCAAGAGAAUCAGAUGGAAUAUCAUAUAUCCAGCAUGUAAUGUGUUAUGAAAGUAUCAGCUGAAGACCAGGUCACCGCUCUGCAGAUCUCCAGGAGAGGAACCCCA
Molecule: long non-coding RNA, 210 nt
Organism: Gekko japonicus
Lineage: Eukaryota; Metazoa; Chordata; Lepidosauria; Squamata; Gekkonidae
Exons: 3
Source: RefSeq, a predicted model, not a curated record